RNAcentral lists this ribosomal RNA (455 nucleotides) under uncultured organism. RNAcentral's name for it is "bacterial SSU rRNA". It matches the Rfam family "Bacterial small subunit ribosomal RNA", at positions 346 to 794 of the family's 1533-position model. The record is from RNAcentral.
GCGCACCAGGCGAGAAUUUUUCUCAAUGGGCGAAAGCCUGAAGGAGCGACGCCGCGUGGGGGAUGAAGGGUUUCGAUCCGUAAACCCCUGUCAUUUGCGAACAAACCUUAGCAUUUAAAAGAUGUUGAGCUGAUUGUAGUGAAAGAGGAAGGGACGGCUAACUCUGUGCCAGCAGCCGCGGUAAUACAGAGGUCCCAAGCGUUGUUCGGAUUCACUGGGCGUAAAGGGUGCGUAGGUGGCUUGGUAAGUUUGAUGUGAAAUCUCCGGGCUUAACCCGGAAAUGGCAUUGAAUACUAUUGAGCUGGAGGUUUGGAGGGGGGACUGGAAUUCUCGGUGUAGCAGUGAAAUGCGUAGAUAUCGAGAGGAACACCAGUGGCGAAGGCGAGUCCCUGGACAACACCUGACACUGAGGCACGAAAGCUAGGGGAGCAAACAGGAUUAGAUACCCCUGUAGU